RNAcentral lists this ribosomal RNA (502 nucleotides) under uncultured bacterium. RNAcentral describes it as "bacterial SSU rRNA". It matches the Rfam family "Bacterial small subunit ribosomal RNA", at positions 791 to 1299 of the family's 1533-position model. The record is from RNAcentral.
UAGUCCACGCCGUAAACGAUGAUCACUCGCUGUAGGCGAUACACAGUCUGUGGCUAAGCGAAAGUUUUAAGUGAUCCACCUGGGGAGUACGAUCGCAAGAUUGAAACUCAAAGGAAUUGACGGGGGCCCGCACAAGCGGAGGAACAUGUGGUUUAAUUCGAUGAUACGCGAGGAACCUUACCUGGACUUAAAUGUAGUUUGACAGCUUUAGAGAUAGAGUUUCCUUCGGGCAAAUUACAAGGUGCUGCAUGGUUGUCGUCAGCUCGUGCCGUGAGGUGUCAGGUUAAGUCCUAUAACGAGCGCAACCCUUGCCGUUAGUUGCCAGCAUGUAAAGAUGGGGACUCUAACGGGACUGCCGGUGCAAACCGUGAGGAAGGUGGGGAUGACGUCAAAUCAUCACGGCCCUUACGUCCUGGGCUACACACGUGCUACAAUGGUGGGUACAGAGAGCAGCCAUGUCGCAAGGCAGAGCGAAUCUAUAAAACCUAUCUCAGUUCGGAUC